Molecule: ribosomal RNA, 497 nt
Filed under: uncultured bacterium
Lineage: Bacteria
Description: partial 16S ribosomal RNA
Rfam family: Bacterial small subunit ribosomal RNA
Source: RNAcentral
GAUGAACGCUGGCGGCGUGCCUAAUACAUGCAAGUCGAGCGAACGGACGAGAAGCUUGCUUCUCUGAUGUUAGCGGCGGACGGGUGAGUAACACGUGGAUAACCUACCUAUAAGACUGGGAUAACUUCGGGAAACCGGAGCUAAUACCGGAUGAUAUUUUGAACCGCAUGGUUCAAAAGUGAAAGACGGUCUUGCUGUCACUUAUAGAUGGAUCCGCGCUGCAUUAGCUAGUUGGUAAGGUAACGGCUUACCAAGGCAACGAUGCAUAGCCGACCUGAGAGGGUGAUCGGCCACACUGGAACUGAGACACGGUCCAGACUCCUACGGGAGGCAGCAGUAGGGAAUCUUCCGCAAUGGGCGAAAGCCUGACGGAGCAACGCCGCGUGAGUGAUGAAGGUCUUCGGAUCGUAAAACUCUGUUAUUAGGGAAGAACAUAUGUGUAAGUAACUGUGCACAUCUUGACGCUACCUAAUCAGAAAGCCACGGCUAACUACGUG